AAAUUGGGGACUAACAGGCAGUUAACUCAUUAGUCACCAGCAAUCUUAUUGUUAAUAAAAUAACUGAUUUAUUAUUGACGAGGAGAAUGAAUGUACAAAUUACUUACAAAUGGAAGGUUAAAGAAGAUGAUGACAAGCAUAGUCGGGCUGUAUUCAGUGUAUUUGGCGCUCGAAGGGGAUUGUAAAGAUGAUAGAGAGCUCCAACGUUUUCUUGGCCUUCAAUUACCUUGUUAUUACAAAGAUGCUCUGAUUGGUGAAAUGUUUGAAGAAUACUUGGAGGACAGAGAA
This 288-nucleotide long non-coding RNA is filed under the name Elaeis guineensis (African oil palm). RNAcentral's name for it is "long non-coding RNA (EGUI_LNC005979)". The record is from RNAcentral. Lineage: Eukaryota; Viridiplantae; Streptophyta; Magnoliopsida; Arecales; Arecaceae.